UGCUUGCCAAAGUUCAAACAAAUGACUCACAGAGUAAAACUUCAGCUCUCUUUGAAACGGUUCAGCUAAUCUUUUGCUCCCCAUGGAGCGUGAGCAGUCCCAAAGCUCCUUAUAUAUCUUGUGGGGUGGGGCUCCUGCCCCACCCUUCCCUUUGAUGAUGCCGCCUCUCUAAUCUUCUGAAGCGCAGGUUAAUCCAAGCUUGAUUAUUAUUAUUAUUAUCAGCUGGGUCUGAAGGCGUAGCCUGGGGAAGGGAGGAAUCAGGGGAUGACGGCCUCAUUACGUCCUCCGACUGGCCUGGUUCUGGCUCCUGGAGCCGGGCCAAAGGAAUCGGUGCUCCCAAGGAACUAACCAGAGAGAGGAUGUUCCUGACUCCAAACAGACAUUGCAAAGUCUGCUGCCACCUAGGGACACAAGUCAGCAAUGACAGUAUCCACCCAUCUCCUGAAACGGAAGAGCAGGUAUACCAGUGAUGGUUAACCUUUUCGGCACCAAGUGCCAAAACUGGAGCGUGUGCGCUGGAGUCCCAGAACCUGAAAGAGAGCAGCUGGCCGGUGCGCAUGUGUGCGACAGACCCAGAAGAGCAGCUGGUGAUGGCACGCAGUACGACAGAGAGGGUUCUGCGUGCCAUAGGUUCACCUUCAUGGAGGUGCAACUUCCAAUCUUGGCAACUUCAAGGCUUGUGGACUUCAGCUCCCAGAAUUCCCCAGCGAUCCAUGUUGAAAACCAACUUUGGGAUUUGAGAAUCAGAUCUGAUCUGACCACAGAAAUAUUGUGGUUUUUAAAAUUUAGGGUUAUUCAUAUUUGACAAUUUAUUAUAUGUUUAAGAUUAAAAUUAAAAGAAAAAUAUAAGAUGAUAUUGAUUUUUUAAAGAAUAUUUAU
Long non-coding RNA from Ahaetulla prasina, 879 nucleotides. RefSeq lists it as uncharacterized. Lineage: Eukaryota; Metazoa; Chordata; Lepidosauria; Squamata; Colubridae. The record is from RefSeq and is a predicted model, not a curated record. The transcript is spliced from 3 exons.